RNAcentral lists this ribosomal RNA (516 nucleotides) under uncultured bacterium. RNAcentral's name for it is "bacterial SSU rRNA". It matches the Rfam family "Bacterial small subunit ribosomal RNA", at positions 151 to 644 of the family's 1533-position model. The record is from RNAcentral.
UCGAAAGGGGGGCUAAUACCGCAUAGGACCACCGGGGCUUUGGCUCUGUGGUGAAAGGGGGCCUCUGUUUACAAGCUCCUGCUUCUGGAUGAGCCCGCGUCCCAUCAGCUAGUUGGUAGGGUAAUGGCCUACCAAGGCUACGACGGGUAGCUGGUCUAAGAGGAUGGCCAGCCACACUGGAACUGAGACACGGUCCAGACUCCUACGGGAGGCAGCAGUGGGGAAUCUUGCGCAAUGGGCGAAAGCCUGACGCAGCGACGCCGCGUGGGUGACGAAGGCCUUCGGGUUGUAAAGCCCUGUGGGGUAGAACGAACUGGCAUCGGGCUAAUAUCCCGGUGUCUUGACGGUACUGCCUUAGCAAGCAUCGGCUAACUCUGUGCCAGCAGCCGCGGUAAGACAGAGGAUGCGAACGUUGCUCGGAUUUACUGGGCGUAAAGCGCGUGUAGGCGGUCUCGUUAGUCGGGUGUGAAAGCCCCGGGCUCAACCCGGGAAGUGCACCCGAUACUGCGAGACUGG